Molecule: long non-coding RNA, 438 nt
Organism: Sinocyclocheilus anshuiensis
Lineage: Eukaryota; Metazoa; Chordata; Actinopteri; Cypriniformes; Cyprinidae
Exons: 3
Source: RefSeq, a predicted model, not a curated record
CCACAAACUGCCAGGCAGGUGUGUGGACAGCCUGGAGAUAAACUCUGCAGGAUGUUGGUCCUCCAGGACACCACUGUUAUGCAGAUAAAGAGCCACCAGGAACAGGUCGCUGCAUCUUUUGUCAUGUAGAUGCUGGAACAAAAAUCAGCCAGGCCACAGCAUCUAAAAUGGAAACUUCUAUUAAAGUGGCUCCGUAACGUAAGAGACUUGGGAUGGUGGAAGGAGCAGAAGAACCAGAAGAUCAGAGAUCAGGCAGAGCUCUACUGGUGCCCCUUAGGGGAUUGAUUUAUCUAUAAUUAUCUAUAAUAUCUACUUAAUGUUCUGAUGUAGUUAUAAUUGGUCAUUGUUCUGUUUUAUAAAUCUAUUCAAUAUAUCCUACUGUCAAUAGUUUGGGGUCAGAAAGUUUUUUUUUCUUUAAGAAAUUACUUGUAUUCAGCA